RNAcentral lists this ribosomal RNA (320 nucleotides) under Paenibacillus polymyxa. Its description in RNAcentral is "bacterial SSU rRNA". It matches the Rfam family "Bacterial small subunit ribosomal RNA", at positions 1 to 306 of the family's 1533-position model. Lineage: Bacteria; Bacillati; Bacillota; Bacilli; Caryophanales; Paenibacillaceae. The record is from RNAcentral.
UUUAAUGGAGAGUUUGAUCCUGGCUCAGGACGAACGCUGGCGGCGUGCCUAAUACAUGCAAGUCGAGCGGGGUUAGUUAGAAGCUUGCUUCUAACUAACCUAGCGGCGGACGGGUGAGUAACACGUAGGCAACCUGCCCACAAGACAGGGAUAACUACCGGAAACGGUAGCUAAUACCCGAUACAUCCUUUUCCUGCAUGGGAGAAGGAGGAAAGGCGGAGCAAUCUGUCACUUGUGGAUGGGCCUGCGGCGCAUUAGCUAGUUGGUGGGGUAAAGGCCUACCAAGGCGACGAUGCGUAGCCGACCUGAGAGGGUGAUCG